UAUGCAGCUGGAGCCAUUGGUCCCCCCA
Molecule: non-coding RNA, 28 nt
Filed under: Mus musculus (house mouse)
Lineage: Eukaryota; Metazoa; Chordata; Mammalia; Rodentia; Muridae
Source: RNAcentral